GUCGCCCCUUGGGUAGCAGUUCCCGUUAACCUUAGCCACAAAGUCAAAGCCCCCAGGUGGCAGGGCUGGGACCUCACCAGCACCGAUGCAGAAGGAGACCUGCAGGGAUGGAGAGGGGCCCUGCUGGCAGCACCUCAGGAGAUGGGGUGGCAAGGAUCAAGCAGGAGAAGCCAGAGUGGCUGUUGCAGACUGUGGCACCUCAGGCCGUGCUUCCGGAGAAGGACAAGGAAAACAUAUUUCAGCAGCAGAGUGGUCUCCCACCCUGCCAGACCAUGGGGCGGCCCUGGGCUCUGGGGUCACAAGAGGAGACUGGAGAUGCACGGUGCACCCCACUUCCUGAGCACGAUGCACCGCUGGCUACU
Molecule: long non-coding RNA, 362 nt
Filed under: Rattus norvegicus (Norway rat)
Lineage: Eukaryota; Metazoa; Chordata; Mammalia; Rodentia; Muridae
Description: long non-coding RNA NONRATT020444
Source: RNAcentral